RNAcentral lists this ribosomal RNA (253 nucleotides) under uncultured bacterium. RNAcentral's name for it is "partial 16S ribosomal RNA". It matches the Rfam family "Bacterial small subunit ribosomal RNA", at positions 524 to 776 of the family's 1533-position model. The record is from RNAcentral.
UACGGAGGGUGCAAGCGUUAUCCGGAUUUACUGGGUUUAAAGGGUGUGUAGGCGGACCUUUAAGUCAGCGGUGAAGUCUCCGGGCUCAACCCGGAAACUGCCAUUGAUACUAUUGGUCUUGAAUGUUGUUGAGGUGGGCGGAACGGGUCAUGUAGCGGUGAAAUGCAUAGAUAUGACCCGGAACACCGAUUGCGUAGGCAGCCCACUAAGCAACGAUUGACGCUGAGGCACGGAAGCGUGGGGAUCAAACAGG